AAUAUUCGACAAGGGGGGCAACCGCGAUCCAUCCAUGCCGCGUGCGUGAAGAAGGCUUUAGGGUUGUAAAGCGCUUUCACUGGUGAAGACCAUGUCGGUAGCCAGAGAAGAAGCCCCGGCUAACUCCGUUCCAGCAGCCGCGGUAAUACGGAGGGGGCAAGCGUUGUUUGGAAUUACUGGGCGUAAAGGGCGGGUAGGAGGGAUGUCAAGUUAGGGGUGAAAGGAGUGGGCUCAACCCAGGAAUUGCCUCUAAAACUGGCAAUCUAGAGUCCGGGAGAGGAUGGCGGAAUUCCCAGUGUAGAGGUGAAAUUCGUAGAUAUUGGGAAGAACACCAGUGGCGAAGGCGGCCAUCUGGUCCGGCACUGACGCUGAGGCGCGAAAGCGUGGGGAGCAAACAGGAUUAGAUACCCUGGUAGUCCACGCCGUA
RNAcentral lists this ribosomal RNA (427 nucleotides) under uncultured marine bacterium. RNAcentral's name for it is "bacterial SSU rRNA". It matches the Rfam family "Bacterial small subunit ribosomal RNA", at positions 360 to 804 of the family's 1533-position model. The record is from RNAcentral.